GUUUAUGGCGGGCCAUGGUGGGGAUACCUUCGGGUAUGCCGGUUCCAAGUUCCGGUUCGCCAACCCCGCCAUGUGCCUGCCACCCCC
This 87-nucleotide non-coding RNA is filed under the name Gulbenkiania mobilis. Lineage: Bacteria; Pseudomonadati; Pseudomonadota; Betaproteobacteria; Neisseriales; Chromobacteriaceae. The record is from RNAcentral.